RNAcentral lists this ribosomal RNA (465 nucleotides) under uncultured bacterium. Its description in RNAcentral is "partial 16S ribosomal RNA". It matches the Rfam family "Bacterial small subunit ribosomal RNA", at positions 28 to 507 of the family's 1533-position model. The record is from RNAcentral.
GACGAACGCUGGCGGCGUGCUUAACACAUGCAAGUCGUACGGUAAGGCCCUUUCGGGGGUACACGAGUGGCGAACGGGUGAGUAACACGUGAGUAACCUGCCCACAACUUUGGGAUAACGCUAGGAAACUGGUGCUAAUACUGGAUAUGUGCUCCUGCUGCAUGGUGGUGGUUGGAAAGCUCCGGCGGUUGUGGAUGGACUCGCGGCCUAUCAGCUUGUUGGUGGGGUAGUGGCCUACCAAGGCGGCGACGGGUAGCCGGCCUGAGAGGGUGACCGGCCACAUUGGGACUGAGAGACGGCCCAGACUCCUACGGGAGGCAGCAGUGGGGAAUAUUGCACAAGGGGCGCAAGCCUGAUGCAGCAACGCCGCGUGCGGGAUGACGGCCUUCGGGUUGUAAACCGCUUUCAGCAGGGACGAAGCUUUUUGUGACGGUACCUGCAGAAGAAGCACCGGCUAACUACGUG